RNA transcript from Diospyros lotus (date-plum), 12151 nucleotides. RefSeq lists it as uncharacterized. The transcript is spliced from 2 exons. The record is from RefSeq and is a predicted model, not a curated record. Lineage: Eukaryota; Viridiplantae; Streptophyta; Magnoliopsida; Ericales; Ebenaceae.
UGAUGUAUUUCUGAGGCAUCAUUAGUUUGUAUCUGAGGUGUUCAGUUGUUAUCUCUUGAUGAUAAGUCUCCAUGUAUUUAAGUAUUUGAUGAUACGAUGGUACAGAUUCCUAUGUUAUGAUUAAAGCAAAUUUGAUUAUGUAUCAUAUCAAGUUUCGAUUUUAAGCUUCUGCAUUUAUGAUGAUUACCUAUCUUAGCUUAUUGAUUCUUAUUUAGUAUGCUGAGAAGGUAAAACGGGAUUGUCGAGAAAUGGUUUAUAUUGAAAAAAAAAUAUUCUUGAAAUUCCUAAGUUAUUUAACGCUCGGAAAAGCGGGACGUUAUAAAGAUAAAACCAAAAUAAGAGGAAGAAGAUCAAAUAAAGCUACAGCCAGUUGUUCCUAAGAAUUAGGUGAAGAUAAAGCUAUAGCUAUUCCUAAGAAUUAGGUGAAGAAGAUCAAAUAAAGCUACAGCCAGCUGUUCCUAAGAAUUAGGUAAAGAUAAAGCUAUAGCUAUUCCUAAGAAUUAGGGGAAAACUUGGGAGUAAAUUUCUCUCCUUAUCUGUUGUUGUUUUUGUAUUUUAAACUCUUAAAAUUUAGAUAGUAGAUAAGUAGAAUUGUUGUAUUUAAAGCAUCCUUGUAACUGAGAAUGGUGUAGCAGUUAGUAUUUGUUGAAAUCCUGAAUGAUUUGAAGAGGAUUUGGAGGAGAUUGCGGUAAGAGAUUGAGACCAUAAUGAGAUCCAAUAUUUAGGCUGUUUAGGCUGAUUAUUUGGGUUUAAUUUUAUGUUUUCAUAUUUGUUGAUUCUCUAUAUACAUGUUAAAUAGGGACCGAGUAUGCAAAGAAUAUUUGAACUAAUUGAAUAAGGUUUUGAUUCAAUUUCCAUAUUCUCAUCGUCUUUAUGGUAUCAGAGCUCAGGUCACUCUGAAAAUCCUAGCAAGCCAUGGUCGCCAGCCAUGAGUCUACCCAGUCGGUAACUUAGGAGGGAGAAUCAGAGAUAAUCCCUUCCAUGGGUUCGACCGACGGGUUUGAAAAUUCCUUAAUUUAUCUUACCGUAGAAAAGCUGAAUGGUAAGAACUACCGAGAAUGGGCCUAAUCUAUCAAGUCGGUCAUCGACGACAAAGGCAAACUGGGCUUCCUUAUCGGUGAGAUCAAACAGCCACCUUCCAAGGAAGUAGCGGCCUUCCAGAAAUGGCGUUAUGAGAAUUCCCUCAUAACCUCCUACUUGAUCAACUCCAUGCGAUCAGCAAUCGGCAAAAUGUACAUGUUCCUGCCGACGGCGAAAGACAUGUGGGAAGCUGUUAGCGAAACCUACUCCGACGCCGAGAAUGCCUCUCAAAUCUUCAAGAUAAAGACUCGGCUGUGGCAGAUGAAGCAGGGAGAAAGAAAGGUGACGGAAUACUACACGGAGAUGUUGGGUUUAUGGCAGGAACUAGACCUCAACUGUGAAGAAUCUUGGGAGUGCAUGAGUGAUAGUGUGUGAUUCAAGAAGAGAAUGGAGAAUGAGAGAGUGUACAAGUUUCUGGCUGGGCUCAACAGAGAGCUCGAUGAUGUGAGGAGCCGAGUCUUUGGUCGCCGGCCAUUACCUUCCAUUCGAGAGGUGUUCUCCGAAAUUCGACGUGAAGAAAGUAGAAGGAAGGUGAUGUUGAAGGAGAAAAUCGCGCCUGGGCCUGAAGCUUCAGCCCUUGUAACCCGUGGGCCUCCCACAGGAUCUAGGUUGAGAAAAAAUAAAAGGCCAUUUUGUGACCAUUGAAAAAAAUCAGGCCAUUCUAAAGAUAUCUGCUGGGUUUUACAUGGAAAGCCUGCUGACUGGAAGCCCAGACGGCCCAACAAAUCCCAUGGGUACGAGGCUUUGACUGAACAGCAGAAAGAAACAACCCAUCACACUCAGUCGGCCUCUAUUGGGGGUUUUAAUCCCGAGCAACUUGAGAAGUUAUAUGCUCUUUUUUUGACCUUUCAAGCCUCGGGUCAGUCUUCUACUUUGCCAUCGGGUUCCUUAGCCCACAAAGGUACUUUUUUGACUGCUCUUAGUACUACUUCGUGCCGUACUCCCUGGAUUAUUGAUUCUGGUGCAUCCGACCAUAUGACUAAUACCCAUCAUUUAUUUUCUACAUAUUUACCUUGUGCUGGUAACUUGAAAGUAAAAAUUACAGAUGGUACUAUAUCCCCAGUCGCUGGCAAAGGGAGUAUCUGUAUCUCUGAAUUUAUUACUUUGGAGUCUGUUCUUCAUGUUCCUAAUCUAUCUUGCAAUCUGUUGUCUGUUAGUAAGCUAACCAGCCAAUCUCAUUGCUUAGCUACAUUUUUGUCUUCCCAUUGUGUCUUUUAGGACCUAUCAUUAGGGAAGAUGAUUGACAGUGCUAAAGAAUGCGAGGGACUCAACUACUUUGAUGACGCUCACAUGAGUAAACAGUGUCAUCCUCCUAUUUGUAAUUCUGCAUCUAGUCCUAGGGAUAGUGACCUUUUGUUAUGGCACAAAUGAAUGGGCCAUCCAAGUUUUCAAUAUUGAAAACAUUUGUUUUCUUCACUUUGUUCGAAUAAAACUCUCUUGGGUUUACAAUGUGAAGUCUGUGAACUUGCAAAACAUCCUCGCACUACUUUUCCCUCAUCUCCUUAUAAACCAUCACUGCCUUUUACUCUAAUUCACAGUGACCUUUGGGGGCCUUCACGAGUUCCCAAUAGAACCCACACAAAAUGGUUUAUUACCUUUAUUGAUGACCAUUCUCGUCUCUGUUGGGUGUAUUUACUACACGAUAAAUUUGAGGUUAGUUCUGUUUUCAUGAACUUCUAUACUAUGAUUUACAUCCAAUUUCACACAAAAAUCCAAAUUCUUCGUACUGAUAAUGGCACUGAGUACUUCAAUCAUUCUUUGGGCCCCUAUCUUCAAGACAAAGGUAUUAUUCACCAGAGUUCUUGCGUUCAUACCCCCCAACAAAAUGGUGUUGCUGAACGGAAAAACCGGCAUAUUCUUGAGGUAGCUCGUGCCUUACUGUUCACCUCUCACAUGAAAAAUAAUUUUUGGGGUGAUGCUAUUCUGACCUCUGCAUUCCUUAUCAAUCGAAUGCUUAGUCGAGUUCUCUCAUUUACAACCCUUCUCCAAAAGUUCCAGGAGAUCUUCCCUGAUUCUCGGCUCAGUUCAUCUCUCCCGCUUUGUGUUUUUGGGUCCACCAUGUUUGUCCACAUUCACGCCUCCCAACGUACUAAGUUGGAUCCUAGGGCUCUCAAAUGUGUCUUCUUUGGUUACUCCCCUACUUAGAAAGGUUACAAAUGCUAUGAUCCUCUCUCACAGAAAUUAUAUGUUAGUCUUGGAUGUCACAUUUUUUUGAGCAUACUCCUUACUACUUGCUUCAGGGGGAGUCUGUCAUGUGUCUCGGGUAAGAGGGGUGCUUAUGUAAUAAAGAUAUACUAUGAGUAGAAGAUAGUAUAUUAGGAGUUUGCAUUAAAAGGUUGUAAUUAGUUUGUUGCCGCUUUGGGAGUAGUACAUUCCCAGCAACGGCAUUCUGUUACGCACAUGGGCGCUGGUGGCUGGCUUUAUAAGUAGCUGUCCAACUCAUGAAUAGGCAUAAAUGAAUAUUCUUAGAAGUUUCUAUUCUCUCUCUUCCUUUCUCUCUUCUCCCUACUGAUUCUCUCUUCCCUAAACCAUUCGUAUCAUUCUAUUGGAAAUUCAUAGUCAGCUCCUCGGAAGCUGACAUUUGGUAUCAGAGCGGUCUUCUUGGGCGCAAGCAGAGGCAGAGAGGAAUAUCCAUAUGGCCGAAGGGACGAGGAUGAAGCAGAUGGAGUCUCAAUUACAGCAAGUGGCUACAACAGUGGCGGAGGUGCAGACGAGAAUGGGAACUCUCGAAUCUUCAAUUGGAGCAGGGGUAGAUGCUCGGAUUGAUCAGGCCAUGGAGAGGUGGCGGGGUGAGAAUCGAGAACAGAAUGCUCGGUUCCAUGAGCAAGUAAUGGAACAGAUGCAGCAGAUUAUGCGAAUGUUCUCAACUCAACAACCGGUGAGACUUUCCGCUGAUUUUCCGCAAAGGGAGCGGUCGAAACCCAUUCUUCAAGGGGUAGGAAUGGAGCGCCGACCAGUGGGAAUGUCGGAGAUGGAAUUCGAGCCGGAAGGGACUGGCGAUAACAUAAGGGAGAGAAGAGCGAGAGCUCAGGGAGAUCGUUAUCAACCAAACUUUCCGGUGCCCAAACUGGAGAUUCCGCUCUUCGAUGGAGAAAAUCCUAGAUGGUGGGUAAGGAGGUGCGAACGGAUGUUCGCCUUGUAUCAGGUGCAGGAACAGCAGAAGGUCACCCUGGCCUCUGCCUACCUGAACGACAUGGCUAAUGCAUGGUACCAGGGGUGGCUGGCGGAGAAAGAAGGCAGCCCAUGGAACGAGUUCGCGGAUGACUUGUGUGAAAGAUUUGGAGAUCGGAGUAUGCGGGAUAUAGUUGAAGAGUUUAACAAGCUCAAGCAACUUGGAAUGGUACAGAAUUACCAGCUCAAGUUUGAGGAGCUGAGGUCCUUAAUGAUGAUACACAAUCCCCAUCUAUCAGAAGAGUAUUUUGUAUCGAGUUUUAUUAGUGGCUUGGGAGAUGAAGUAAGACCCAUGGUGAAAAUGAUGCAGCCAACAACAGUGAGGUUGGCCGCCGAGAGUGCAAAGUUGCAGGAAAUGAUGAUUGAAGCACUGUUAAAAAAGCAGCGCAAUCAAGUGAAGGGAGUGAUCACUGGGGGUUGGCAGACUGGUAGCAGGACUCAAGGACGAGAUGCGGUGCACAGUGGUAAGGGGGUCCUGGCAUUACCUCCUGCAGCCCCUAAUCCGACGACUGGAGGAGGGUUAAUGGAGCAGAGACGCCAAGCUAACCUAUGUUAUAGGUGCGGGGAUAAAUACUUUCCGGGACACAGAUGCAAACGACAAAUCUUGUUGCUGGAAGGGGAGGACGAGGAAGGACUCGUGGAGGAAACUUCAGGAAUGGAAGAAGGUGAUCAAGGAGAAAUCUCCCUACACGCCCUAAAAGGGGUGGCACAUAGCAAGAUCAUCAAGGUGGAAGGGCGAGCUCACCAAUGUUCGCUAAUGGUACUCAUUGAUAGCGGGAGCACCCACAGCUUCCUGGAUGAAGGCAUGGCGAAGAAGUUGGGAUGUGAAGUCUCAGAUGCCCACCCUCUCUCGGUAACAGUCGUAAACGGAAACAAGGUACUGAGUCAAUCCUCGUGUUUGGGAUUCUGCUGGGAGAUGAAUGGGGAAGCAUUUGUGGCAGAUUUGAGGCUGUUGAAAUUGGGGGGUUGUGAUGUGGUACUUGGGGUUGAUUGGAUGAGGGGUGUGAGUCCCAUCAGCUUCGAUUUCAACAAGAUGGAGGUGACCUUUGAGAAGGAUGGAAAAAAAAGAAUGCUCAAGGGUAGCCAAGAAGCAGGUAUGUGCAAAAUGAUAACGGGAAAGAGACUUCAACGGUUGCUCAAAAGCAAGUUCUCCCAAGUAGUGCAGCUGUUUUCUAUCCAGGCUUUGGAAGUGUUCGAGAAAGAACCAGAACAGGGAGGAGAAUUGGCAAUUAUAGUGAGUAGCCACCCACAUGACCAGUUAAAGGUACGCGAAACUAACGCUCUUAACAUGCUAUUAUUUGAGUUCGAAGACCUCUUUUCCGAACCUAGCUCAUUGCCUCCAAAAAGGCCUUGUGACCAUACCAUCCACCUCAAACCCAAUUCAGAACCAGUGAACGUUAGGUCCUAUCGUUAUCCUCCCAAACAGAAAACUGAGAUAGAGAAACUCAUCCAAGACAUGUUACAAAAGUCGAUUAUCCAACACAGCCAUAGCCCUUUCGCAUCUCCCGUACUCCUUGUCAAAAAGAAAGAUGGUUCAUGGAGAUUUUGUGUGGACUAUAGGCAACUCAAUGCCAUAACCAUCAAAGACAAGUUUCCCAUACCCAUUGUAGAAGACUUGCUUGAUGAAUUGAAGCACGCUUCAGUUUUCACUAAGUUGGAUCUUAGGGCAGGGUACCACCAAAUUCGAAUGGAGCCUCGGGAUAUCCCUAAAACCGCUUUUAAAACUCAUCAAGGGCACUACGAAUUCAAGGUAAUGCCCUUUGGACUCACUAACGCCCCAGCCACUUUUCAAGCAUUAAUGAACCAAAUAUUUGAGCCCUACUUGCGUGUAUUCAUUCUAGUCUUUUUCGAUGACAUUCUGAUCUAUAGUUCCACUUUCAUUGAACACCUAGCCCACUUGAGAACUACCCUCGAGGUCCUUCGACUCAAUAAACUGUAUGUUAAGAAGUCUAAGUGCUCCUUUGUACAAAGUCAUGUGGAGUAUCUGGGCCAUAUAAUAUCUCAUGCAGGAGUCAGCACCGAUCCUAGCAAGGUAGCAGCCAUGGUGGAGUGGCCGAGGCCUCAAAAUGUCAAAGGCUUACGGGGAUUUCUGGGCUUAACUGGCUAUUAUCGCCGGUUUGUCAAGGAUUAUGGAGUUGUCAGUAGGCCACUAACGGAAUUGUUGAAAAAGGAUGGCUUCCAAUGGAAUGACCGGGCUGAGGAGGCUUUUGUUAAACUAAAGGGAGCUAUGAGCGAAGUACCAACAUUGGGCUUGUCGGAUUUUGACAAGCCAUUUGUAUUGGAGACAGACGCCAGCGCUGUUGGAAUUGGAGCUGUCCUGGUACAAGGAGAUAGACCCUUGGCCUUUCUUAGUAAGGCAUUGGCUCCUCGGCAUCUCGGGUUGAGCAUUUACGAGAAGGAGCUGUUAGCAGUGCUGAUAGCGGUAGAAAAGUGGAGGCAUUACUUAGAAGGCAGUAAAUUUGUGAUCAAAACCAACCAUGAAAGUCUGAAAUUCUUACUUCAACAGAAAUUACAUACACAAUUGCAACGAAAGGGGAUGACUAAGUUGAUGGGAUUGGAUUAUGUUAUCCAAUAUCGGAAGGGAAAAGAAAACUUAACUGCAGAUGCCUUGUCAAGGUGUCAUGAGGAAGGGCAUUCUGCUGCUCUUACGGUGAUGGUUCUAGACUGGCACAGGGAAGUGGCCUCGAGUUAUGAAAAUGAUGAGAGUAUGCGAGAGCUGCUACAACAACUGGUGGUGGAUCCUAGUGCUAAACCAGGUUACACCUUGACUAAUGGACUUAUCAGAAACAGAGAGAGGCUGGUAAUAGGAGAUGAUGAGAAUUUGAGGAAAAAAAUUGUGGAGACGCUGCACAGUUCUCCAAUAGGGGGCCACUCCGGAAUAGUUGCUACCUAUCACAAAGUUAAGCAACACUUUCAUUGGCCCGGGUUAAAAAAAUAUGUGAUGGACUGGGUGUUGAGUUGUGAUGUUUGUAAACGGUGUAAAUCAGAAUCGGUGGCCCACCCUGGGUUAUUGCAGCCACUAAGUAUUCCAGGAGGGCCUUGGGAAAGUAUCUCAAUGGACUUCAUUGAGGGUCUACCCAAAUCGGAUGGGCGAGACUGCAUAAUGGUGAUAGUGGACAGAUUCACCAAGUAUGCCCAUUUCAUCGGAUUGGCACAUCCCUACACAGCUCAAGAGGUAGCAAAAGUGUUCCUAGACCAAGUGGUGAAGUUACAUGGAACCCCUAAGACUAUAGUGUCGGACAAGGACAGAAUUUUUAUGAGCCUCUUGUGGAAGGAAUUGACUGGAAUAUUGGGAAUUCAACUCAGCAUGUCGACGGCCUAUCAUCCCGAAUCCGAUGGUCAGACCGAGCGAGUAAACCAAUGUUUGGAGACCUACUUAAGAUGUGCUUGCUUCUUACAGCCGAGGACUUGGCAUAAGUGGCUCGCAUUGGCACAAUGGUGGUAUAAUUCUAACUACCACAACUCCAUAAAGAGGUCCCCGUUUGAAGCCCUAUAUGGUUAUAAACCGACCUUACUGCCAGACCUGGGAAGUUCUUCGACAGUGGCAGCCUUGGAUACUUACCUUCAACAGAGACAACAAGCCUUCCAGUCAAUCAAAACGGAAUUGGCCAGCGCUAGGAAUCGUAUGAAACAAUUUGCUGAUAGAAGGAGAAGUGAACGGGAAUUUCAAGUGGGAGAGUGGGUGUAUCUUAAGCUUCAGCCAGGCCAUCUGAAAGCUCUACUUGGGAAGCCUAGUUCAAAGCUCAAUCCGAGGUAUUAUGGCCCUUUCCUGGUGUUAGCUCGAGUUGGGAAUGUGGCUUAUCGUUUAUAGCUGCCGGAAAAUUCCAAUAUACAUCCGGUUUUUUAUGUGUCCUUGCUAAAAAAGGCAAUUGGGCAGCAAGCAGUCAAUCCAGAGCUACCUCGCCUUCCAAAUUCAAAUGACAGCCCAAAGGAACCUAUAGCGAUACUUGACAGGAGAGUGAUAUACAACCAAGGAGCUCCCAUCAUCUAGGUGCUAGUGCAGUGGUCUAAUCUACAUUCCGACAACAACACUUAGGAAUACCUUCCAGAUAUUCUCAAACAAUUUCCCAAGGCAGCGGGACUUCUCACCAUUUCUUGAGGACAAGAAGAAUUUAAAGGGAGGGGAGAUUGUCAUGUGUCUCGGGUAAGAAGGGUGCUUAUGUAAUAAAGAUAUACUAUGAGUAGAAGAUAGUAUAUUAGGAGUUUGCAUUAAAAGGUUGUAAUUAGUUUGUUGCCACUUUGGGAGUAGUACAUUCCCAGCAACGACAUUCUGUUACGCACAUGGGCGCUAGUGGCAGGCUUUAUAAGCAGCUGUCCAACUCAUGAAUAGGCAUGAAUGAAUAUUCUUAGAAGUUUCUAUUCUCUCUCUUCCUUUCUCUCUUCUCCCUACUGAUUCUCUCUUCCCUAAACCAUUCGUAUCAUUCCAUCGGAAAUUCAUAGUCAGCUCCUCGGAAGUUGACAGAGUCCUUGAGUGAAGCUCGACCCUCAGACACUGACUUCGAUGUUGCGAUCUUUGAGUCUACCCCUUACAAUACACCCUCUCUUUCUUUAUCCAACGCAGAAGGAAUCUUGAACUCAAGGGGAGGUGUGGGAAAGCAAACAGAUAGGGAGACACUUGUCUACUUAAGGAGACCUAAAUCAAAGCCUGAUGAGACUCUCGCAUUCAAAGCACCAAAAGAGUUUGAACCGGUGAUAGCUCCGACUACUCAUGAGCUAAAACCCAAUCCUCACCAGGUAAAAAAUCUUGAUGACUUACCCAUUGCUCUUAGAAAACAAUCUUGUUCAUGUACUCUCCAUCCUAUCUCAAAAUUUGUAUCUUACAAUGCUUUUUCUACCAAGUGUCGUACUUUUACGUCUAACCUUGACAGAAUCCAGAUUCCUAAGAAUAUUCAAGAAGCCUUGGAGAUUCCAGAAUGGAGAGAAGCAAUGAUGGAAGAAAUAAGGGCAUUAGAAAAAAAUGGAACUUGGGAGGUGAUGACAUUGCCAAGGGGGAAGAAACCAGUGGGCUAUAAGUGGGUGUUCACGAUGAAGUACAAGGUGGAUGGCAUAGUAGAACGGUACAAAGCCCGCCUAGUUGUAAAGGGGUUCACUCAAACAUACAGUAUUGACUAUACCGAGACAUUUGCACCAGUAGCAAAGUUGAAUACUAUGCGGGUUCUCUUGUCCUUGGCAGCAAACCUGGACUAGUCACUCCAUUAGUUUGACAUCAAGAAUGCUUUUCUGAAUGGUGAACUAGAGGAAGAAGUAUUCAUGACGCUACCACCAGGAUUUUACAAGGAGGGAAAAGAAACUUGUACGUUGAAGAAAUCUCUAUAUGGGCUCAAGUAAUCACCAAGAGCGUGGUUUGAUAGAUUUGCGAAGGUAAUUAAGAAUCAAGGAUAUCAACAGGGACAGUCAGAUCAUACUAUGUUCUUCAAACAAUCCAAUGAUGGAGGAGGACCAUUCUGAUCGUGUAUGUUGAUGACAUCAUACUCACUGGAGAUAACAUAGAAGAGGUGGAAAUAUUGAAGAAGGUCUUAGCCACAGAGUUUGAGGUAAAAAACCUAGGUCAAAUGCGAUAUUUUCUGGGAAUGGAAGUCGCCAAAUCAAAGAAGGGAAUUAGUGUCUCCCAGAGAAAGUAUGUUCUUGACCUUUUGAUUGAGAUUGGUAUGCUUGGUUGCAAGCUAAGCAAUACCCCGAUUGAGGCAGGGAAAAGAAUGGAAGACAUUGGAAAGCCUGUGGAUAGAGAAAGAUAUCAGAUGCUAGUAGGUAUAUUGAUCUACCUAUCUCACACUAGACCUAACAUUACUUUCGUUGUAAGUGUGGUCAGUCAGCAUAUGCAUUCACCAAAGGAGAGUCACCUAGAAGCGGUAUAUAAGAUUCUUAGAUAUUUGAAAGGCUCUCUAGGGCGAGGUCUAUUCUUUAAGAAAUGAGACAGUAAGAAGAUAAAGAUCUAUACAGAUGCAGAUUGGGCAGGCUCAGCAGAAGAUCAAAGGUCUACUACCGGCUACUGUACCUAUGUUUGGGGAAAUCUGGUAACAUGAAGGAGUAAGAAGCAGAGUGUGGUAGCCAGAAGUAGUGCCGAAGCUGAAUUCAGAGCUGUUGCACAAGGGAUGUGUGAAGGGCUAUGGUUACAAAAGGUUUUGGAGGAACUACAUAUCACAGUAGAGUUCCCCAUCAAACUCUACUACGACAACAAAGUUGCUAUCAAUAUUUCCCAUAAUCCUGUUCAGCACGACAGGACUAAACAUAUAGAAGCUGACAGACAUUUUAUAAAGGAGAAAAUUGAGAAAGGGACAAUCUGCUUGACUUAUAUCCCUACAAGAGAACAAUUGGCAGAUAUAUUCAUUAAGGGGUUACAGAAGUCUAGCUUUGAAGAGUUUAUCUGCAAGUAGGACAUGAUCAACAUAUAUGAUCCAACUUGAGGGGGAGUGUUGAAAUCCUAAACGAUUUGAAGAGGAUUUGGAGGAGAUUGCGGUAAGAGAUUGAGACCAUAAUGAGAUCCAAUAUUUAGGCUGAUUAUUUGGGUUUAAUUUUAUGUUGCCAUAUUUGUUGAUUCUCUAUGUACAUGUUAAAUAGGGACCGAGUAUGCAAAGAAUAUUUGAACUAAUUGAAUAAGGUUUUGAUUCAAUUUCUAUAUUCUCAUCGUCUUCAGUAUUUUCUCAACCCUAUUACUUAGAGGGUAUUAAAUCCUAAAUUCUCUAAGUUGUUCAUGGUAUUAGAGCCUGGUUUUCGGUAAUCUGUAUGCCUGGUUUUUUCACACCAAUCUGCUCUAAGAUGGCUAGUUCUUCACCAACUAGUGAGUCCUCAAGUAUUUGCCCUACUACCUCUCGAUCUAUACCACCAGUUUCUGCCCCUAUUUCGUUAGAUCACCACACCCUUCAAAUCACUCAACAUGAACUCAAUGGGACCAAUUUUUGGGAAUGGUCUCAAUCGGUUAUAUUGGUUAUGAAAGGCAAAGGAAAAGUGGGAUAUCUAAAGGGGGAGUUUCAAAACCAUAUCCUGAAGCGACCAAUUUUGAAGCAUGGGAUGCUGAAAACUCCAUAGUGAUGACUUGGCUCAUCAAUUCCAUGGAGCCAAAGAUAGGGAGAACCUAUUUGUUCUAUAAAACAACAAAAGAAGUAUGGGAUGCAGUCCAAAGUCUUUACUCAAACAUGGAGAAUACAACACAAUGUUUUGAAGUUCGAUCAGCCCUAAGAACCACUUGUCAAGGUGACAAUUCGGUGAUUGAUUACUAUAAUAUACUAUCUGAAUUAUGGUAGGAGAUGGAUCUGUUUUAUGAUAUCAGUUGGGAGUGUACAAAGGAUGGGGUGAAGUAUUCUAAAAUGAUAGAGAAGGUGAGGGUAUUUGACUUCCUACAUGGGCUGAAUUCUGACUUAGAUGAAGUCAGAGGAAGGCUGUUAGGAACAAAACCCUUUCCAUCUAUCAAGGAGGCUUUUGCUGAAGUUAGGAGGGAAGAAAGCUGAAAGAAGGUCAUGCUCCAUGCAUCACCUGAAAUUAAUAACCAGACUGGCUCAACCCUUGCUGUUUCUAAACCAAAAACAACACCAACUUGCGGAGAAUUUCAGAAAGAAAAGCAAUGGUGUGAUCAUUGUGGAGGCUUUUGCUGAAGUUAGGAGGGAAGAAAGCUGAAAGAAGGUCACGCUCCAUGCAUCACCUGAAAUUAAUAACCAGACUGGCUCAACCCUUGCUGUUUCUAAACCAAAAACAACACCAACUCGUGGAGAAUUUCAGAAAGAAAAGCAAUGGUGUGAUCAUUGUCACAAGCCCUACCAUACCAGAGAAACAUGCUCGAAAAUACAUGGGGAACCAGCCAAUUGGAAAGGGAAAGGUCAGAAGAAGCAGCAAACAGCCUAUGCAGUAGAUGCUGAAGAAGGUACUGGGAAGACGUCUUGUGCUCGUGUAAUAGCAAAUCAAGCGG